Paramuricea clavata is the source of this 799-nucleotide non-coding RNA. Lineage: Eukaryota; Metazoa; Cnidaria; Anthozoa; Malacalcyonacea; Plexauridae. The record is from the annotation of a GenBank genome assembly.
AUAGAAGAGUGUCGUCAGCGUAGAGUAAUAUCUUGCAGUGUUUAACAAUGUUGGGCAUAUCGUUGAUAUAAAUAAUGAAGAGAAGUGGCCCUAAAAUGCUUCCUUGUGGAACGCCGACUGACACGGGUAGAGAGCAGGACAGCGUAUUGUCGAUGGAUGUUACUUAUUGACGAGAGGAAGGGUAGGACUCCAACCAAUUUAGGGAAUUAAUGUCAUCCAAGCCAACGGAUUUUAAUUUAUACAACAGAAUAGCAUGGUCAACGGUGUCAAAUGCUUUACUAAAGUCCAAGAAAACAGAGGCAGUAAUCAGACCGUUAUCAGCGUUUUCAAGAAUGUUGUCGGUAAAGAAAGCCAAAGCAGUGCUGGUUGAUAGUUUAGGUCUAAAACCAAAUUGAUUAGAAGUUAUGAUUUUGUUUUCGGUUAGGUAGUUGUAGAUUUGUGUGUGAACAAAACGUUCCAAAAUCUUACUUAGGGUUGGCAAUACUGUAAUAGGUCUGUAAUUUGACAUGUUCGAGCGCUCCCCAGAUUUAAAGAUAGGUGUGACUCUACCGUUUUUCCAGAUUUUGGGGAAAGUAGAGGAGCUUAGCGAUAGGUUAAAUAUUUGGGUUAGCGAUGGGGCGAUGACUACGGCAGCAUCUUUUAAUAGUCGAGCGGUGAUACGAUCAAGACCGGUGGAUUUGUUCGUUUUUAGUUUUGAUAAAUUCUUGAGAACAGACGUAAUUUGAAUCUCUUGGAAUUUGAAGGUUGAAUUAACUCCUGGUGGUGGAUUUCCGGGAGACUGGGAUUGCGUACAUUUUUG